RNAcentral lists this ribosomal RNA (459 nucleotides) under uncultured bacterium. RNAcentral describes it as "partial 16S ribosomal RNA". It matches the Rfam family "Bacterial small subunit ribosomal RNA", at positions 29 to 523 of the family's 1533-position model. The record is from RNAcentral.
AACGAACGCUGGCGGCAGGCCUAACACAUGCAAGUCGAACGUGAAGCCACCUUCGGGUGGUGGAAAGUGGCAGACGGGUGAGUAACGCGUGGGAACGUGCCUUUCGGUUCGGAAUAACCCAGGGAAACUUGGGCUAAUACCGGAUACGCCCUUCGGGGGAAAGAUUUAUCGCCGAAAGAUCGGCCCGCGUCGGAUUAGCUAGUUGGUAGGGUAAUGGCCUACCAAGGCGACGAUCCGUAGCUGGUCUGAGAGGAUGACCAGCCACACUGGGACUAGGACACGGCCCAGACUCCUACGGGUGGGAGCAGUGGGGAAUAUUGGAAAGUGGGCGGAAGCAUGAUCCAGCCAUGCCGCGUGGGUUAAGAAGGCCCUAGGGUUGUAAACCCCUUUCAGCGGGGAAGAUAAUGACGGUACCCGCAGAAGAAGCCCCGGCUAACUCCGUGCCAGCCGCCGCCGUAA